This 1313-nucleotide unclassified non-coding RNA is filed under the name Bombus terrestris (buff-tailed bumblebee). RNAcentral describes it as "misc RNA ENSBTSG00005031183.1". The record is from RNAcentral. Lineage: Eukaryota; Metazoa; Arthropoda; Insecta; Hymenoptera; Apidae.
UGUAAUUGCAAUUGACGGGACACAGUGCAUAAAACUGAAAGCAGGCGGAUCUAGGGGAAUUCUAUAUGCCCGGGGCGCAUAUGAAGCGAGAUCAUUAAAAGCCUCCGAAAGAUUACAAACAGAUAAAUUUGCGCUGAUAUCCGAAAUAUGGAACAGAUUUAUAAGUAAUAGCCAGGCUUGUUACAAGCCAUAUGAAAAUAUCUCAAUAGAUGAACAAUUAUUUCCAACGAAAGCUCGAUGCAGGUUUACGCAAUAUAUACCGAAUAAGCCUCAUAAAUUUGGCAUUAAGUUUUGGUUAGCAGUUGACGUCCAAACAAAAUAUAUUUUGAAUGGUUUCCCUUGUAUGGGGAAAGAUGAAACUCGAUGCUCAAAGGAAAAAAGGACAAGAUGACAUUGUGUUCCUCAAAUUUAUAUAAAUCAGAAAACUGCACCUUAUUGUGUAUAAAAGUAAACCUAAAGUAGAAGUCCUCCUUCUAAGCACCAAACAUACAGGUGUACGAAUAGAAGAUAAUUAUAAACGUGUUCCAGAAACCAUUGCUUUUUACAAUAAAACAAAGUAUGGUGUGGACGUCGUUGGCCAAAUGGCACGCAAAUCUAGCGUGAAAGCAGGGAGUUUCUGAUGGCCCCUUCAAGUCUUUUUCAAUAUUUUGGAUUGGGCAGCGAUAAACGCGAAGAUAUUAUAUAAAGAGUGCACCAGAUCGAAAAUAUCCAGAAAAGAAUUCAUUUUUUGUUUAGCCGGGGAAUUAACUGGAGAAAACAAGGACAACAUUUGCCAAAGAUCAGACGCUUCAUUUCUGUCACCUUCAACGUCAGAAGUGCGAAAAAGUUGCCAAGUGGAUUAUUGCAAAAAAAAAAAAAAAAAAUAGAAGUAAUAAUUAUUGUUUAUAUUGCAAAAAGAUCGUAUGCGGAAAAUGCACAAACAACAUUCAGUAUAUUUGCAAAAAAUGUGCUCGAUAGGUAUGAUUACCCUGUACCGUUAACGUUAUUGUUAUUUUUUUUAGUGAUAAUUUAAAAAAAAAACUUUUUAUUUAUUAAUAAUUUAUUUAAACGUGAAGCCUAAUAUUGUUCCUUUCAGACUUAAUUUGAAUAAAUCGAUUUUUUAAUGAAAAAUGCGUAUUUUCGUUUACCCGUCAAUUUGACGGGUCCCGUAGAGAUAAGUAUACUACAUACAGAUUUCAAAGAUUAGAAAGCCUAGGAAAAAAUAAUUUUGUGUAUGAAUUUUUUAGAUGAAAUGAUUAAUUUACGAUGCAAAAUGGUUAAAAUUGGUGCUAUGGUUUUUGAGAUAUUUCAUUUCGAAUUUCGAAAUCCGUCAA